Molecule: transfer RNA, 69 nt
Filed under: Pseudotriton ruber (red salamander)
Lineage: Eukaryota; Metazoa; Chordata; Amphibia; Caudata; Plethodontidae
Description: tRNA-Asp
Source: RNAcentral
UAGAUGUUAGUAAAAUAUUUACAGGACCUUGUCAUGGCCCAAUUACUAGUUUAAACCUUGUACAUCUAC